UGUCCAGCAACUCCUAUCCCUACCUCCUCGUGGUACUGGCCGGGGUAUGGGCAACUUGAGGGAAGG
RNAcentral lists this ribozyme (66 nucleotides) under Aedes aegypti (yellow fever mosquito). RNAcentral describes it as "drz-agam-1 ribozyme". It matches the Rfam family "drz-agam-1 ribozyme". The record is from Rfam by way of RNAcentral. Lineage: Eukaryota; Metazoa; Arthropoda; Insecta; Diptera; Culicidae.